GUUUUUUUUCCUCCAGUACCCAAUUCCUGCCAGCCCAUGUUCCCUCAUUAUGAGUUAUCUGCAGCUUCAGGACAUUUGACUGGGGAUGUUUCCUUCUACUGCUCCUAAAGAAGGUCCUUACGUCAUUGAUAUGCCUAUCCCUGAUGUUGUACACAUGCAGAAGAUAACUUCAGUUACAGCUAUAACACUUGUGAAAAAAAGCCUUGAACUCUGGGAAAUUCAGACCUGGAUCCAGACUUUGCAGCUGGACUCCAUUCCUGCCUUAAAUAUAAAGUAAAAUCGAAGUGCAUUGUGACUGCACACAUUGUUUACAGGAAACAUUCAAUUCAGCAUACUUUGACAGCUCCUGUCAUUGUUACCGGGCGCAGGAGCUGGGGAAAGGGAUUCAACCUGAACCCACAACUGGAUGAGCUCUGAAGACAAUCUCCUACAUAUUUUAGAGGCCUUGGCAAAU
This 454-nucleotide long non-coding RNA is filed under the name Gallus gallus (chicken). RNAcentral's name for it is "lncRNA (ENSGALG00010006875.1)". Lineage: Eukaryota; Metazoa; Chordata; Aves; Galliformes; Phasianidae. The record is from RNAcentral.